Long non-coding RNA from Cydia splendana, 539 nucleotides. RefSeq lists it as uncharacterized. The record is from RefSeq and is a predicted model, not a curated record. NCBI's taxonomy places the organism in Eukaryota, Metazoa, Arthropoda, Insecta, Lepidoptera, Tortricidae. The transcript has 2 exons.
UUUUUAUGGUAGGUAUAUUUUCAUGUUUUUAGGGUUCCGUAGCCAAAUGGCAAAAAACGGAACCCUUAUGGAUUCGUCAUGUCUGUCUGUCCGUCCGUAUGUCACAGCCACUUUUUUCCGAAACUAUAAGAACUAUACUGCUGAAACUUGGUAAGUAAACUUAGUACCUAUUCUGUGAACCGCAUUAAGAUUUUCACACAAAAAUAGAAAAAAAAAACAAUAAAUUUGGGGGUUCCCCAUACUUAGAACUGAAACUCAAUUUUUUUUUUUCAUCAAACCCAUACGUGUGGGGUAUCUAUGGAUAGGUCUUCAAAAAUGAUAUUGAGGUUUCUAAUAUCAUGUUUUCUAAACUGAAUAGUUUGCGCGAGACACACUUCCAAAUUGGUAAAAUGUGUCCCCCCCCCUGUAACUGCUAAAAUAAGAGAAUGAUAAAACUAAAAAAAAAUAUAUGAAGAACAUUACCAUGCAAACUUCCACUGAAAAUUGGUUUGAAUGAGAUCUAGUAAGUAGUUUUUUUUUAAUACGUCAUAAAUCGUAAA